This is a long non-coding RNA of Cairina moschata (Muscovy duck), 5048 nucleotides long. NCBI's taxonomy places the organism in Eukaryota, Metazoa, Chordata, Aves, Anseriformes, Anatidae. The record is from Ensembl.
GGGGAAAUCAGGCUGUUUUCGCCGCCGGGGCCAGCCCGCUUCCCCUCGGGGUCUCGGCCACACCGGGACCGGGAGGCAGCGGCGCUGGGGCCGGGUGGCAGCGGGUGGCCGGGGGGGGACAAAGUCCAGCGGGGAGAGCCGUGAGAGCUGCCCGGGUGGCACGGGUCGGGGGGAAGGUGCGAGAAAGCCCGAGCGAGAGGCUGGAAGCGCUGCUCCGCCGGGCUCGAGAGGUUAAUAAAUACACCCGUCCCCUCUCCCCUGCCCGCCCGAGGCUAAGACUCGCAGCUCAGCGGGUAAUUGACAGUCUCGAUCCAAAAUUGAAACAUGUGUUAACAACAACGCCACGCAUCCGAGGAGCUACCCGGGAGAUCGCCACCUCACGGUCUUUAUAUAUUAUUUGAAUCCACCGGAGGGAAGUGUCACGAGGUUUUCCGAGCACGUUUCACCCCUACCUGUAAAUCAACUCUUAUCACUGCUGGCUGCUCGGGCAGGGGCAGCCUCCGCUUUAUAAAGCAGCAGGAGGAGAGCCGGUCCUCCCUCUCGGCGCUGCUGCCACGCCGCCCCCAGGCAAAGCCCGCCCGGCCCGGCCCGACCCUUCCCGAUUCUCGCCCCCUCGGCGUGUCCCCACGCGUGUCCGGCAGCGGGCGGGGACGCGUCGAGCCGCCGGCCGGGCUGCUCGCCUUCACGGAGACGUGGCUCGCCGGGGACGUGCUCGCACACCCACAGCGGGGUGGAGGAGGCGCCCCCUCCCCCGACACCCCUUUAACCGCGCCCCACACUUUAAGGGAAUUCGCUGUCCCCGCAGGAGAGACCGCGCCAGGGCAGGGAAAGCGCAAACUUGCGCCGGAGCGCUCGGACGUGCAGAGGCAGGACAGCGCUGGCAGGGUUCCCCGGCAAGGGCAGGUCUCCAGGGCCCACAGCCGCCAGCUCCAUCCCUCCCCCCGCCGUCCCCACCGGCCCCUUUCCCCUCCGCCAGCCCCGGCGAGGAGCGGCCCCGGCCCCGGGGAAGCACCGGGAGCCCCCCGCGGGCAGAGCCGGCUCCGAGCCCCGCUCCGGAGGUCAGGGCCGGCGGGGGCAGGCAGAUGGAAAAUCCCAGUUCCUGCCGCACAUAACAAACAAGGUGCAGCCCUGCUUCAGCCAGGGUGUGCUCGGCCACCGUGGAAAUGGGCUCUUUCACCUGAGCUGACCCCUCUGCCUGCCUGCAGGAACCAUGCCAAGGAGCAGCAAAACAGGCAGGAUGGAGGAGCGGGAGGCAUGCGGAGAUAUUUGGAAACAAAAAAUGGAACGAGAGAUGGAAUGGGGGUUACAGAGGUAAAAAAACAAACAGACAAACAAACAUUAAAACCAGGGUUCUGAUCCUGUCCCUCCCAGAACUGCUUUAUAUUAACAGCAAUAGUUGCAUGCAUCUUAUUUGUGGCUACAGACCUGAGUCUGCAUUGCACAGGAUGGGUUUGGGGAAGGUAACUAGCAGCAAAGAGGAUAGCUUCUUUGCUGACCAUGUCUCCAGUUCCAGUCACCAUGCACUAAACCAGCAAAGCAGUCAAAGAUAUGCUUGGCUGUAAGCACGUGAGUAGUUUCACUGAUUGCAAAGGCACUACUCAGCUGUUUUAAAGGUAAGCAUAAGCCCGAAUGCUUUGCUUCAUUGGGCUUUGCAAGAGCUGGGUACACAGCCCCUAAAUCAGCACCUUAAAUGAUGCCCUGGCACAGAAAUACAGUCACUGCAAACCAGAGUAGAGGGAAAUACAAUCACAAAAUGGUUUGGGUUGGAAGGGACCUUAAGGAUCAUCUAAUUCCAACCCCCCUGCCAUGAGCAGGGAAAUCAAAGACAUGCAGGGUGGAUGCUUUUUAAAUAAAUUGAAUAGGAUGAAGGCGAGCUUCCUAGGUAUUAACAAUUCAUUGAAAUGGUUUAUGUGUGGAUUGCUCCCAGUAAAGUUGCAAGAUUGCUGCUCUCCUGUUAACCUAACAAAUCAAUAGUGGCACCCAGUGGCUAGAGGGGUUAAUCAAAAAUUUACCUUUGUCUCUCAUGAUUCCCCUUGCACAAAAGUUAGCGUUUAUAUGCAAAUACCCCUGCCUUGGUAUCAUGUGCAUUAAAUCCAGACCCAGCUGAUCUGGAGUAGGGUUUCAUCUGGAAGGUAUCUGCUGAGUAAUGAUCACAAUUUCUGUUCACAGAGGCACGAGCCUGCAAGGUGAAAUGCUUAGGCUUCUAGCACAGCACAUGGCAGGCUGCAAAACCACUGCAUUUUGGCGUGGUUGGAGGAUAGUUAAUGCUUAUUUAUUCUGUGAGAGCACUAAACCUGCACAAAUGAAAAUUAUGCCUGUUGUAAGAGUUCCAGGACUUCCCUCCAGAGAACACUUUCCAAAAUUUGCUGACUUUCAGUACUUAUGGAAUUUCAAGAGCCAAGUGAUCCAUAGGAAAGUUAAAACCCAGCUAGUAAAUGAAAUGAGCAAUUAACUGAACUGAUGAGAGGGAACAUGCAAACUCUGGAGCCAUAGUUUCUGGAUCUUUAGCCUCUACUUGGAGCAUAUACAAGGAAAAAAAAUGUCUUGUAAAAGACAAGUAAAAACAAUGUAGUUUAUUCCUGAAGGAUACAUUCAGGGGGCUUAAAGGACAUGUCCAGUGGCCAUAACAGGUCAGGACCACCUUGCCCCCACCUGACACUUUUGCCAUCACACCAAUGACUAUUUCUGUUAAAACUUCCAACUCUAGCCACACACCAUUCUCCACUCCCCCACCUCCCUGUCUGUCAAAAAGGGAGAAGAUGUUAAUUUAUUUCUUGCUCCCCUUUAGAGGCUGUUCCCAGACACCAGAAUCAUCCUUUUGGAGCUGAGGGAUGGUCGCACGCAUGCUGGCAGCUGGGACAGCUGGCUUCUGCUAGGGUGUCCUCAGCCACUGACAGCUGAUCUUGCCUGCAGAGUGGACCAGGAGUAACAGGGAAGUGGCAAUCUUAAUUUCUGUUUCAGCCAUUUUUCACAUUCCCUGCCAUCAUGAGGACACAGAUCACUGGUUGUGCCCUUUCCAGCCUCUUUUUAUGGCACACAAUCCUUGUGGCUGCUGGUCGUUGACCCUUAUGGCUGCUUGCUAUGGGUAGCAGGGAAGCGUUGGUGAUCCUGGUUUACAGGGUAGAUAUCUUGCAACUCCUUCCUAGGUCUCUAUUUUUGGCUUUUGCAAUUCUGCAAAUAAUAAUAAUAAUAAAAAAAUGUAGAAAUGUAGGUCUUUGGGCAAGAACUUCCUGACCAUCAAGGUCAGAUCUCUGCAAUCACAGGGGUUAUCUACCUUUCCCAAUGUAAGUUGCUUUAUCCUUGCAGAAACUGGACAAUCUCUCUGUGCCUCAGCAUGCCUACCAGGUAAACGGGAGCAGCAUCAGGCAGGAUUUUGGUAGCAGGAGGGCUGUGCUGUGGUAUUACACUCUUUGCCAAGCAAUUUAUGAUCUCCGGUUGGGACAUACCAGCGAAGCACAUGAGCUUUUAAAACUUAUGUACCCAUGAAAAUGAUCUUGGAAAACUUUUGCUUCUGACUCUCAGCACAUUCCUUAACUGAACUGCUCAGCAUUGCCUUCAUCCAUCCCCUCGCCCCCAGCCUUCCCUGCCUUCUCCGAAGGUGGGCAUGAAAUGUGUGAGCAGCAGGGUGCUCUGCUAUGGCCCAUUGGUUUCUCUUGUUUGGUUGCUUUGAUUUCUUUUUCCUCAGUGAGAGAGGAUGCAAUAGGUGAUGUAAAACGUGCAUGCCAAAGAGAGCAUACAUACAUUCCUCUGUGCAUUGCUUAACACGAGGCAGAAAACUUUUCACUGGUUCUUCUAGUCUGUGCAAGAGCUCCUCGCCCGGCUGGUGAGCACAGAGCUUAACCCGUGUGGGCAUACUGGUGUAGCAGGGUCCAGGUGUCCCUUCUGUCCUGUCAGCAUGUCCAGCCUCAGCCUCAAUUACACAUUCUUCAGCCUUUUCAUUAAGGAGUCACACUUGUGUGUGAUGUCUUGUGUUUGGAGGUGGCAAAAAAAAACUGUCAGGCACUGGUUGUUUUCUUAAUACAGUAAUAAAACGUAGAAGUGAUAAACUAUUAAUUCUACAGAGAUUUUUUUUUUUUUUUUUUUUUUUUUUAAAUUCUCAGGAGCAUCAAAUCCAAAGAGGACUUAAUACAAGUAUUCCUAGGGGAUGGUGUUCAUAAGCGUUGUGGCCAUAUGGGCAUACAGCUGGCUAACCACUUCCUCUGCAGCCUUCUCUUUCAGUAGGGAUCCUCAGGAGGGGUAGAAAAAGGCUACAAUGAUGUGAAAACCGAUCUCCCCAGCCCUCGGGGAAACAUAACUCCAGCCAUAAACAAGUUAGUAAGGAACAAAAGGAUGUGCAGAGGGACCAUCGCUGGUCUAAAUCAUCAGCUGAGACUAAUUUACACCACAGAGAGCCUGACGUAUAUGUUCAAGCCAGGAAAAGCCCAAUAAUUCAAAAGAAAAAAAAAUAUCCAAUCUGUUCCUGCUUGCAGGAACACCUUUCUUAUCAGGGCAAUUCUUCAAAACCCGGUAAUCACCAGCAAAGCCCAAAUUCACUAUCGAUCCAGCUUCAGCUCUCACGUACCUUCCUGCACCUGUAGCGGGAUGCCUUCAAAGCCCCCCCCGGACCCCUCUUCCAAACAGCAGCCCCAUGGGUUUGAGGAAAGGGGAGCUUUGUGCUGCUUCUGUGUAGGGGCAGGUGUGAACCGAGCCAGGGGGACAUGCAGGAGACACACCACAAGCACAGGGCUCAGGGCAGCACGGAGGGCACAUCCAGUGUUUGGAGCUGUUUCACCCAAAAUUGGUUUCAGAAGCACUCCACGCCUCGGCUCCAUGUGCAGAAGAGGGCUUUCAACGCCUUUUGCAAUAAGGCUUGGUUCCUCUCACCAUUCAUUAGAGCCCUGGAAGAUAUUUUAUAACUAACAUGAUGUGUUCAAAUGGCUUCACAUUAUGACCAACCAUGCUGUAAUGUUUGCGAUGAACUUGCUUUGUCUUCCCUUCCUUUUUCUGCCCUUCCCCUCCCCUCCCCACAAAACCCCGUUAACAGAGCCAUCAGCCCCUCACAAUUAACU